UAAUAGCGUAUACUUAAGUUGUUGCAGUUAAAAAGCUCGUAGUUGGAUUUCGGGUGGGAAUGGCCGGUCCGCCGUUUCGGUGUGCACUUGCUACGCCCACCUUGCUGCCGGGGACGUGCUCUUGAGUUCACGCUCGGGACACGGAGUCGGCGAGGUUACUUUGAGUAAAUUAGAGUGUUCAAAGCAGGCCUACGCUCUGAAUACAUUAGCAUGGAAUAACACGAUAGGACUCUGGCCUAUCUUGUUGGUCUGUAGGACCGGAGUAAUGAUUAAGAGGGACAGUCGGGGGCAUUCGUAUUUCAUUGUCAGAGGUGAAAUUCUUGGAUUUAUGAAAGACGAACUACUGCGAAAGCAUUUGCCAAGGAUGUUUUCAUUAA
Molecule: ribosomal RNA, 377 nt
Filed under: uncultured eukaryote
Lineage: Eukaryota
Description: partial 18S ribosomal RNA
Rfam family: Eukaryotic small subunit ribosomal RNA
Source: RNAcentral